GAUGGGAAACAGGUUAAUAUUCCUGUACUUGGUGUUACUGCGAAGGGGGGACGGAGAAGGCUAUGUUGGCCGGGCGACGGUUGUCCCGGUUUAAGCGUGUAGGCUGGUUUUCCAGGCAAAUCCGGAAAAUCAAGGCUGAGGCGUGAUGACGAGGCACUACGGUGCUGAAGCAACAAAUGCCCUGCUUCCAGGAAAAGCCUCUAAGCAUCAGGUAACAUCAAAUCGUACCCCAAACCGACACAGGUGGUCAGGUAGAGAAUACCAAGGCGCUUGAGAGAACUCGGGUGAAGGAACUAGGCAAAAUGGUGCCGUAACUUCGGGAGAAGGCACGCUGAUAUGUAGGUGAAGUCCCUCGCGGAUGGAGCUGAAAUCAGUCGAAGAUACCAGCUGGCUGCAACUGUUUAUUAAAAACACAGCACUGUGCAAACACGAAAGUGGACGUAUACGGUGUGACGCCUGCCCGGUGCCGGAAGGUUAAUUGAUGGGGUCAGCGCAAGCGAAGCUCUUGAUCGAAGCCCCGGUAAACGGCGGCCGUAACUAUAACGGUCCUAAGGUAGCGAAAUUCCUUGUCGGGUAAGUUCCGACCUGCACGAAUGGCGUAAUGAUGGCCAGGCUGUCUCCACCCGAGACUCAGUGAAAUUGAACUCGCUGUGAAGAUGCAGUGUACCCGCGGCAAGACGGAAAGACCCCGUGAACCUUUACUAUAGCUUGACACUGAACAUUGAGCCUUGAUGUGUAGGAUAGGUGGGAGGCUUUGAAGUGUGGACGCCAGUCUGCAUGGAGCCGACCUUGAAAUACCACCCUUUAAUGUUUGAUGUUCUAACGUGGACCCGUGAUCCGGGUUGCGGACAGUGUCUGGUGGGUAGUUUGACUGGGGCGGUCUCCUCCUAAAGAGUAACGGAGGAGCACGAAGGUUGGCUAAUCCUGGUCGGACAUCAGGAGGUUAGUGCAAUGGCAUAAGCCAGCUUGACUGCGAGCGUGACGGCGCGAGCAGGUGCGAAAGCAGGUCAUAGUGAUCCGGUGGUUCUGAAUGGAAGGGCCAUCGCUCAACGGAUAAAAGGUACUCCGGGGAUAACAGGCUGAUACCGCCCAAGAGUUCAUAUCGACGGCGGUGUUUGGCACCUCGAUGUCGGCUCAUCACAUCCUGGGGCUGAAGUAGGUCCCAAGGGUAUGGCUGUUCGCCAUUUAAAGUGGUACGCGAGCUGGGUUUAGAACGUCGUGAGACAGUUCGGUCCCUAUCUGCCGUGGGCGCUGGAGAACUGAGGGGGGCUGCUCCUAGUACGAGAGGACCGGAGUGGACGCAUCACUGGUGUUCGGGUUGUCAUGCCAAUGGCACUGCCCGGUAGCUAAAUGCGGAAGAGAUAAGUGCUGAAAGCAUCUAAGCACGAAACUUGCCCCGAGAUGAGUUCUCCCUGACCCUUUAAGGGUCCUGAAGGAACGUUGAAGACGACGACGUUGAUAGGCCGGGUGUGUAAGCGCAGCGAUGCGUUGAGCUAACCGGUACUAAUGAACCGUGAGGCUUAACCUUACAACGCCGAAGGUGUUU
Molecule: ribosomal RNA, 1546 nt
Filed under: Escherichia coli
Lineage: Bacteria; Pseudomonadati; Pseudomonadota; Gammaproteobacteria; Enterobacterales; Enterobacteriaceae
Description: partial 23S ribosomal RNA
Rfam family: Bacterial large subunit ribosomal RNA
Source: RNAcentral